This 414-nucleotide ribosomal RNA is filed under the name Chironius monticola. Its description in RNAcentral is "partial 16S ribosomal RNA". It matches the Rfam family "Bacterial large subunit ribosomal RNA", at positions 1917 to 2550 of the family's 2925-position model. Lineage: Eukaryota; Metazoa; Chordata; Lepidosauria; Squamata; Colubridae. The record is from RNAcentral.
GAACAAUUAAACGGCCGCGGUACCCUAACCGUGCAAAGGUAGCAUAAUCAUUUGUCUACUAAUUAUAGACCUGCAUGAAAGGCAAAAUGAGGGUUUAACUGUCUCUUAUAAUGAAUCAAUUAAACUGAUCUCCUAGUAAAAAAGCUAGAAUUUCCACAUAAGACCAGAAGACCCUGUGAAGCUUAAACUAAACUAUUAAACCAUAUAAUAACCACUUUCGGUUGGGGCGACCUUGGAAAAAAAAAGAACUUCCAAAAAUCAUAACUAUCAUACCACCAGGCCUACCAGCCAAUAAACGACCCAGCACAGCUGAUCAAUGAACCAAGUUACUCCAGGGAUAACAGCGCAAUCCUCUUCAAGAGCCCAUAUCAAAAAGAGGGUUUACGACCUCGAUGUUGGAUCAGGACAUCCUAA